Molecule: long non-coding RNA, 1726 nt
Filed under: Paramuricea clavata
Lineage: Eukaryota; Metazoa; Cnidaria; Anthozoa; Malacalcyonacea; Plexauridae
Source: RNAcentral
CUGUGUUUUAACUCCAAUUAAUAAUUCAAGCACGUUAGGUGAAAGAACAGCCCGAAAAUAAGUAAAACACACACCAAAUCAUUGUGGGAGAAUGGGUUCAGGGUGAAGUGAACCAAUUACAUACAUUAUACUCUCAAACUCUGGUCAACCCAAAGACUCAUUAAGCCUUAUGUUUUCAUCCCGCAGGCGUAUAUAUAAGACCUGCUAGGAGAGACUGAAUGCUCCAUAGGAGCUCUGCCCGAAGGGUAGCGACCCCCUCUGACAUAGACCUGAACCAAGGGGUGAUAAUCCCCUUGAACAGUACCUACGAUUCGACUGAUUAUAUUUACAUAAAUAACCUGAGUCUAUGGGCCUGAAGUUGACCAUUGGGAACACUUCAACCCCACAAAUACACAGCAUGUGUAUUCCCCAUAGACGAACUCCCACCACAGCUGUAUUUGUAUACAAGACAGCUGCUGCCAGAUGAUAGUUAGACAUAUAUUUGGGUGUUACCAUCACUCAUACUAUAGCUGGAUAGUCAGGGAGGCCAGAAAAAACCUGGAAUAUACAGGAAACCUGGAUGGGGCCAAGACAACCAGCAGCUUCCCCACAAAGCUUCUAUCUUACAAUUUUUUAAUUGGAGGGUUGGUAACACGUUUUGCACAACAUUUAUUUGUUAACCACACUUAUUUUAUUUCAAUUAUGAUCAGUGGACCUUUCUCGAAUUAUGUGACAUUACUCUCAGAAAAAUAGCUUAGGGGCCAUUCACAAAGGAUGUCCGAGCCGAGGGGGGUGAGGGGGGUUUGGAAAAUCAGGACAAACUCGGACAUAGGGGGGGAGGGGGGGUUUUUAGCAAUCCGGAUGUCCGAAAUUUAAAAAAAAUUUUCCCUCUAUUUUGAGCAGUCCUUCCCAUUGUGAAAUUGGCAUUUUGACUAUGCGGUUAACACUAGAUUUUGUUUUAAUUAGUAAUUUAUAUGUUUUUGUGUUCACAUUUACAGUUAUAAAAAAGUUCUAAAAGUAAAAAAAGUUUUUUACUCUUGAUAUAUACAAGGUUGCGUGAGUUUUUGCGAGGCAUGGCGGAUGUCCGGGGGGUCACUAAUUCGGACAAUGCCGGACAAGGGGGGGAGGGGGGGUCUGAAAAUCCAUCAUUUGGCCGGACAUCCUUUGUGAAUGGCCCCUUAUUCAUUACUUCAAAAUAGCAAGACCAAAAUUUUGCGAUCGAACAUCCGAUCAUGCAUGCAUGAUAUUAGCAGAAAGAAAUUGUAAGAAUAUGUAUGUGGUAGUCAAAAUAGAUUAUAUGCAGUAAAUAAUAGUACAUCAAAGGAUUUUCAAUUUUCAAAAGCGUAGGCAUACAUGGUAUCGUACUAAUCUUUCCUUAUAUCCAUCUUGGCAUCUUGCCGAUUUAUCGCAAAUGUGCAUAAACAUAUAUCAUGUGCAGAGUUUUAAGUCUCAAAUUUCGUUCACAAAUGAGCUUGCUUUCUUAAGUUUUGAACAGUAAAGUAUUGAAAAUGUAUGCAGGUCAAAUUAAUUUUGUGAAAUAGCUGAAAAAGAAGUUUUAUAAUUCUACUUUUGAGCGAUUGAAUACAGUUUAAUGUAAGGCCUGAUUGAAACCCAAUCCAACGCCAAAUCUGAGGCGUAGUCUGAAGCCUUUAAUCUGCGGCUAAUCUCAAGGUAGUAAUAAAAUUGUCAUUGGAAUUUUUGAUCGACAAAUAUAAAUACACCAAAAUCACGGAAUGUUGUUAUAAAA